Molecule: ribosomal RNA, 468 nt
Filed under: uncultured bacterium
Lineage: Bacteria
Description: partial 16S ribosomal RNA
Rfam family: Bacterial small subunit ribosomal RNA
Source: RNAcentral
GACGAACGCUGGCGGCGUGCUUAACACAUGCAAGUCGAACGGAAAGGCCCUGCUUUUGUGGGGUGCUCGAGUGGCGAACGGGUGAGUAACACGUGAGUAACCUGCCCUUGACUUUGGGAUAACUUCAGGAAACUGGGGCUACUACCGGAUAGGAGCUCCUGCUGCAUGGUGGGGGUUGGAAAGUUUCGGCGGUUGGGGAUGGACUCGCGGCUUAUCAGCUUGUUGGUGGGGUAGUGGCUUACCAAGGCUUUGACGGGUAGCCGGCCUGAGAGGGUGACCGGCCACAUUGGGACUGAGAGACGGCCCAGACUCCUACGGGGGGCAGCAGUGGGGAAUAUUGCACAAUGGGCGGAAGCCUGAUGCAGCAACGCCGCGUGCGGGAUGACGGCCUUCGGGUUGUAAACCGCUUUCGCCUGUGACGAAGCGUGAGUGACGGUAAUGGGUAAAGAAGCACCGGCUAACUACGUG